AGUGAACGCUGGCGGUAGGCCUAACACAUGCAAGUCGAACGGCAGCACAGAGGAGCUUGCUCCUUGGGUGGCGAGUGGCGGACGGGUGAGGAAUACAUCGGAAUCUACUCUGUCGUGGGGGAUAACGUAGGGAAACUUACGCUAAUACCGCAUACGACCUACGGGUGAAAGCAGGGGAUCUUCGGACCUUGCGCGAUUGAAUGAGCCGAUGUCGGAUUAGCUAGUUGGCGGGGUAAAGGCCCACCAAGGCGACGAUCCGUAGCUGGUCUGAGAGGAUGAUCAGCCACACUGGAACUGAGACACGGUCCAGACUCCUACGGGAGGCAGCAGUGGGGAAUAUUGGACAAUGAGCGCAAGCCUGAUCCAGCCAUACCGCGUGGGUGAAGAAGGCCUUCGGGUUGUAAAGCCCUUUUGUUGGGAAAGAAAUCCAGCCGGCUAAUACCUGGUUGGGAUGACGGUACCCAAAGAAUAAGCACCGGCUAACUUCGUGCCAGCAGCCGCGGUAAUACGAAGGGUGCAAGCGUUACUCGGAAUUACUGGGCGUAAAGCGUGCGUAGGUGGUUAUUUAAGUCCGUUGUGAAAGCCCUGGGCUCAACCUGGGAACUGCAGUGGAUACUGGAUGACUAGAAUGUGGUAGAGGGUAGCGGGAAUUCCUGGUGUAGCAGUGAAAUGCGUAGAGAUCAGGAGGAACAUCCAUGGGCGAAGGCAGCUACCUGGACCACCAUUGACACUGAGGCACAAGAGCGUGGGGGAGCAAACAGG
This 762-nucleotide ribosomal RNA is filed under the name uncultured Stenotrophomonas sp. Its description in RNAcentral is "bacterial SSU rRNA". It matches the Rfam family "Bacterial small subunit ribosomal RNA", at positions 28 to 776 of the family's 1533-position model. The record is from RNAcentral. Lineage: Bacteria; Pseudomonadati; Pseudomonadota; Gammaproteobacteria; Lysobacterales; Lysobacteraceae.